GGCGGCUUACUGGGCUUUAACUGACGCUGAGGCUCGAAAGCGUGGGGAGCAAACAGGAUUAGAUACCCUGGUAGUCCACGCUGUAAACGAUGAUUACUAGGUGUGGGGGGACUGACCCCUUCCGUGCCGCAGUUAACACAAUAAGUAAUCCACCUGGGGAGUACGGCCGCAAGGCUGAAACUCAAAGGAAUUGACGGGGGCCCGCACAAGCAGUGGAGUAUGUGGUUUAAUUCGAAGCAACGCGAAGAACCUUACCAGGUCUUGACAUCGAGUGAAGUAUUCAGAGAUGAGUACGUCUUCGGACACAAAGACAGGUGGUGCAUGGUUGUCGUCAGCUCGUGUCGUGAGAUGUUGGGUUAAGUCCCGCAACGAGCGCAACCCUUACCAUUAGUUGCUACGCAAGGGCACUCUAAUGGGACUGCCGUUGACAAAACGGAGGAAGGUGGGGAUGACGUCAAAUCAUCAUGCCCCUUAUGACCUGGGCUACACACGUACUACAAUGGCAAUCGAACAGAGGGAAGCAAUACAGCGAUGUAAAGCAAAACCCGAAAAAUUGUCUCAGUUCGGAUUGCAGGCUGCAACCCGCCUGCAUGAAGUCGG
This 600-nucleotide ribosomal RNA is filed under the name uncultured bacterium. Its description in RNAcentral is "bacterial SSU rRNA". It matches the Rfam family "Bacterial small subunit ribosomal RNA", at positions 720 to 1329 of the family's 1533-position model. The record is from RNAcentral.